Molecule: ribosomal RNA, 428 nt
Filed under: Staphylococcus aureus
Lineage: Bacteria; Bacillati; Bacillota; Bacilli; Caryophanales; Staphylococcaceae
Description: bacterial SSU rRNA
Rfam family: Bacterial small subunit ribosomal RNA
Source: RNAcentral
UUUCAAAUGAAUUGACGGGGGCCCGCACAAGCGGUGGAGCAUGUGGUUUAAUUCGAAGCAACGCGAAGAACCUUACCAAAUCUUGACAUCCUUUGACAACUCUAGAGAUAGAGCUUUCCCCUUCGGGGGACAAAGUGACAGGUGGUGCAUGGUUGUCGUCAGCUCGUGUCGUGAGAUGUUGGGUUAAGUCCCGCAACGAGCGCAACCCUUAAGCUUAGUUGCCAUCAUUAAGUUGGGCACUUUAAGUUGACUGCCGGUGACAAACCGGAGGAAGGUGGGGAUGACGUCAAAUCAUCAUGCCCCUUAUGAUUUGGGCUACACACGUGCUACAAUGGACAAUACAAAGGGCAGCGAAACCGCGAGGUCAAGCAAAUCCCAUAAAGUUGUUCUCAGUUCGGAUUGUAGUCUGCAACUCGACUACAUGAAGC